This is a long non-coding RNA of Magallana angulata, 1196 nucleotides long. RefSeq lists it as uncharacterized. The transcript has 3 exons. The record is from RefSeq and is a predicted model, not a curated record. Lineage: Eukaryota; Metazoa; Mollusca; Bivalvia; Ostreida; Ostreidae.
AGUAGAUAAUCAAACAGCCACGUUUAAGCUUAGAGAGAUAACAUACUUAAUCACGGCUAUUUCUGUUAUUGAAAUUAUAAUGACUGCUAUAGGAAUAUUCGUUAUAAAACAACGUUGGGCAAUCUUCAGGAAUCAAAGAUAUGAAGAAAUAAAAAAGAACGCUACCUAUCUCUAUUCUAGCCAAUUAAGUAGUAGUGGUAAUGUAAACUGUGAAAGCAUUGAACUGAGAGAUUUAUCAAAUGACCACGCCAUUCAGGAAGAUGGUGAUCGUACAUAUAUUGACAUUAUUGAACACGAGAGUGACAAACAAUCACAACACACAGCACCAGUCAGCGAUAAUAUACUGUAACUCCUUCCGCUUGCACUCACUUCUAAAUUAAAAUGAUUGUGGCGUCGUCUAGCUAUAGAGAUAGCGCUUUAGCAUAAUAUAUUUAGAUGUUGAUGUGUUCAAAUAUAUGAAAUAUAAAUCUAUCCGAAUUAUUUGUCCAUGGUGCAAGAUAAACAAUGACUUAAAAAUAUAUGAUCUACUUUUUGGGGGGUUGAAAAUGAGCAUUGGCAUAUAUAAACUUUCAGAUUUUACAAUCCUCGUCACUUCACUUCUUUAAGAGAACCUGUACAGGAGUAUUAGUCCUCUAAAUGAGCCCGUACCAUAUUACAAUCAAAAUAUGAAAUGAUAGUUGAAAAUACUUGUGAAUGAGAGAGGGGAUGGGCAAAAUCCUCUGCUUUAACUAAUGAUGUAUCUGCCUAUGAUGUAUAUGGACUAGUGACGUCAGCAAUUCAUUGUGGUUUGACUUAAUUACGUCAAACCAUUAAAUAUCAGAAAGGGUUACAUGAAAAUAAAAUAUAAAAGAUAUAGUCUAUUCACUUUGAUUUCACUAUUAACUGAGAAAUCCUUAAAUAAGAAAAAUGCUUAUUUUGUAGUGCCGUUACCUUUUAAGUUCAGUAGAGGAAAGGGAUGGUCAUUAUACCGACAUAAUUAAGUAUAUACAUAUAUGCCAUAACGCAAAAAUAUAAUUAUUUUCCCCGUCAGUUGAUUUUGUUUAAUUUCCAAUAUGAUAAUGCCAAGAACACUCUACCAUUUAUUUCACAUACACAUCUUUUUAUAAAAAAAACGAAAACGCACAACAACUUUUUACUUUCAUAUCGUAUAGCUAACAGCUUUUGGGUGGCUGAUAAUGACUAAACUUAAGUAAAUA